CCUACGGGAGGCAGCAGUAGGGAAUUUUCCACAAUGGGCGAAAGCCUGAUGGAGCAACGCCGCGUGGGUGAAGAAGGUCUUCGGAUCGUAAAACCCUGUUGUUAGAGAAGAAAGUGCGUGAGAGUAACUGUUCACGUUUCGACGGUAUCUAACCAGAAAGCCACGGCUAACUACGUGCCAGCAGCCGCGGUAAUACGUAGGUGGCAAGCGUUAUCCGGAUUUAUUGGGCGUAAAGGGAACGCAGGCGGUCUUUUAAGUCUGAUGUGAAAGCCGUCGGCUUAACCGGAGUAGUGCAUUGGAAACUGGGAGACUUGAGGGCAGAAGAGGAGAGUGGAACUCCAGGUGUAGCGGUGAAAUGCGUAGAUAUUAGGAAGAACACCGGUGGCGAAGGCGAGUUGCUGGACUGUAACUGACACUGAGGCACGAAAGCGUGGGGAGCAAACAGGAUUAGAUACCCCGGUAGUC
This 465-nucleotide ribosomal RNA is filed under the name uncultured bacterium. Its description in RNAcentral is "partial 16S ribosomal RNA". It matches the Rfam family "Bacterial small subunit ribosomal RNA", at positions 338 to 795 of the family's 1533-position model. The record is from RNAcentral.